GACGAACGCUGGCGGCGUGCCUAAUACAUGCAAGUCGAGCGAUUUACUUACGCAAGUGAGUAGAUAGCGGCGAACGGGUGAGUAACACGUGGGUAACCUACCCCUUAGACAGGGAUAGCCAUGGGAAACUGUGGGUAAUACCUGAUGGACCUAUGUAAUAGGAAGUUAUAUAGGGAAAGCGAAAUAGCGCUAAGGGAAGGGCCUGCGGCGCAUUAGCUAGUUGGUAGGGUAAGAGCUUACCAAGGCGAAGAUGCGUAGCCGACCUGAGAGGGUGUACGGCCACACUGGGACUGAGAGACGGCCCAGACUCCUACGGGAGGCAGCAGUAGGGAAUAUUCCGCAAUGGGCGAAAGCCUGACGGAGCGACGCCGCGUGAGUGAGGACGGCCUAAGAGGUUGUAAAGCUCUGUACUUUGGGAAGAAAGGAUGACGGUACCAAAGGAGUAAGCCCCGGCAAACUACGUGCCAGCAGCCGCGGUAAGACGUAGGGGGCAAGCGUUGUCCGGAAUUAUUGGGCGUAAAGAGCGCGUAGGCGGUAUUAUAAGUUAGAUGUAAAAGACUAGGGCUCAACCUUAGGGGAGCAUUUAAUACAGUAAUACUAGAGAGCGGUAGAGGUAUGUGGAAUUUCCGGUGUAGCGGUGGAAUGCGUAGAGAUCGGGAGGAACACCAGUGGCGAAGGCGAGAUACUGGGCCGCGACUGACGCUGAUGCGCGAGAGCGUGGGGAGCGAACAGGAUUAGAUACCCUGGUAGUCCACGCAGUAAACGAUGAGUGUUAGGUGUUGGGUGUGAUAGCAUUCAGUGCCGAAGGAAACCUAGUAAGCACUCCGCCUGAGUAGUACGGCCGCAAGGUUGAAACUCAAAGGAAUUGACGGGGGCCCGCACAAGCGGUGGAGCAUGUGGUUUAAUUCGAAGCAACGCGAAGAACCUUACCAGGUUUUGACAUCCCUAUGGAAUGUAUAGAGAUAUACAUGGCCGCGUAAGCGGACAUAGGAGACAGGUGGUGCAUGGUUGUCGUCAGCUCGUGUCGUGAGAUGUUGGGUUAAGUCCCGCAACGAGCGCAACCCUUAUUCUUAGUUACCAGCACGAAAUAAGGUGGGGACUCUAAGGAGACAGCCGAUGGAAGUCGGAGGAAGGUGGGGAUGACGUCAAAUCAUCAUGCCCCUUAUGACCUGGGCUACACACGUGCUACAAUGGCUGAUACAGAGGGAAACGAAGCUGGGAAGCGGAGCGGAUCUCAGAAAGUCAGUCUAAGUUCGGAUCGUAGGCUGCAACUCGCCUACGUGAAGUAGGAAUCGCUAGUAAUCGCGGAUCAGAAUGCCGCGGUGAAUACGUU
Molecule: ribosomal RNA, 1333 nt
Filed under: uncultured bacterium
Lineage: Bacteria
Description: bacterial SSU rRNA
Rfam family: Bacterial small subunit ribosomal RNA
Source: RNAcentral